AUUGAACGCUGGCGGCAGGCUUAACACAUGCAAGUCGAGCGGGGGAAGGUAGCUUGCUACCGGACCUAGCGGCGGACGGGUGAGUAAUGCUUAGGAAUCUGCCUAUUAGUGGGGGACAACAUCUCGAAAGGGGUGCUAAUACCGAAUACGAUCACGCUGCCGCAUGGCGGGGUGAUGAAAGAUGGCCUCUAUUUAUAAGCUAUCGCUGAAGGAUGAGCCUGCGUCUGAUUAGCUAGUUGGUGGGGUAACGGCCUACCAAGGCGAUGAUCAGUAGCCGGUAUGAGAGGAUGGACGGCGACAGUGGGACUGAGACACGACCCAGACUCCUACGGGAGGCAGCAGUGGGGAAUCUUCCACAAUGGACGAAAGUCUGAUGGAGCAACGCCGCGUGAGUGAAGAAGGGUUUCGGGUCGUAAAACUCUGUUGUUAGGGAAGAACAAGUGCUAGUUGAAUAAGCUGGCACCUUGACGGUACCUAACCAGAAAGCCACGGCUAACUACGUGCCAGCCGCCGCGGUAA
This 519-nucleotide ribosomal RNA is filed under the name uncultured bacterium. Its description in RNAcentral is "partial 16S ribosomal RNA". It matches the Rfam family "Bacterial small subunit ribosomal RNA", at positions 30 to 523 of the family's 1533-position model. The record is from RNAcentral.